CUUCACAGAGAUAACAGGCCAGAUGGGCAUUGAGACAAGUGAACAGGCAGAUGGAAAACAGCAUGGUGAGUAAUACAGAUGGUGGGAAGAACAGGGUACUAUGGCAUCUGCUGUGGAAAGAAGAUAGAUCUAGGUGAUGGUUAAGUCUAAGACAAAGGAGGAGUAAAAUCAUCAAGGAAAGCAGGAGAGAGGGAAGGAAGUGGAAAGCAGACAAAAAAAAAAAAAAAACAACAGCAGCUGUAGAAGCCUGAGAAGAUGAGAGAGUCAAGUCCUUAGAGGGACUGAAAGCAGAGACAUAACGGCACAAAACGAGAUGGGAAAGUGACGGAGCAAUACAUGAGUCUGUAAUGAGUGGGAUUUAGGUGGGCAGCAGCACUUGGUUAUUUACAAGUUCAGGAUCCUGUUUAUAAAGCAAGGAAAGAUUGCUAUCUGUCUCCAGCACUAUGGCGAGAUAAUUAAUAGGAGCACUGCUGGAGACUGAUAGUGCAGGCGGCCGAUACCCAUGGCAGGAGCUCUCGUCAUCUAACUGCCACAGAAUUGUGAAGGUAAAGAAUCUGCAGAAAAGUGGAACAUUCAUUUUUACUAAAUAAAUGCAUUAUCUAUAGCACACAUUAUAGAGUUUUGUUGUUGUUGUUGUUAAUCUAACAUGUAACAGAAAUAAAAGAGAUUGUUUCUAAACCACUUUAAACUGUUCUGGCAACUACCUUAGACCCUUCUGGCGAAGCAUCUCUAAAGAAGACCAUUGACAGCCACUAUCAGUAGCAGCAGCAGUGGGCAUGUGUCCUCGCUUGCCACCCCACAAAAAAGCAAACAAACAAAAAUCAUUCCCAGAUGAAAACUACGAAGUUGUAAACUAUAAAAGGGAAGAUUAAACAUUGUCUGUGUGUUCUCUAACAUCCAUUUGAUUUAUAGUUUUUUUUUUUUUCCUUUUUUGACAGAAGUUGGUCUUAUCCCAUUUUCUCAGCAUAAAAAUAACAAUUCUCUUAUAAGGCAGUUUUACGCAGCAUUAACAGAGCAAAGAGUAAACUUUGUUUGCUUUAAUAAUACUAAAUUGUAACAUCAUAUUUUCUAUUUGCAAAUGUUUGUCCAUCUACUGGAUGUAUAAAUCUUCGUAGUGACAAAAGUAUGUUUGAUUUAUUUAUAAUGGUCAAUGGAAGGGCUAUGAAAUUGUGUAUUAAGCUACUAUGAGAAAAGCGGCAUGGCUCAAAUAAUCAUCUUUAUAUUCAGCAUGCUUCAGGCAAUCACUAAUUUUUGAGAAAUCUAUUGUUCUCUAGUUUUUCCCAAGUACUCAUUUCCAACCUCAUUCCAUCAGGUAUUCUCUGAGGAGUCUUAUCCCUAUGACUUGCUCAAAGCAGAUAUUGUCUAUUUUUUUUGUCUAUUAAGAAAAUAACAAAAUUUUAAAACCAAAUAAGAUCUUGGCUAAGAUACCAUAUGAAAGGUGAAUACACACAGACCCAAACAAGUCCAAAAGAUUGCCUGUCAUAAAGUUAAAACUGGAAUCAGAACUGGCAACCUGGACUUCUGACUUGUGAUUCAGGAUAUAUUUCAC
RNAcentral lists this long non-coding RNA (1549 nucleotides) under Homo sapiens (human). Its description in RNAcentral is "HSALNT0085339". The record is from RNAcentral. Lineage: Eukaryota; Metazoa; Chordata; Mammalia; Primates; Hominidae.